GGCGGACUUCUGUACUUAUAAUUUCUUUACCUUGUUCUUCCGGUGGGCUCCUGUACUUGCAAUUUCUUCACCUUGUUCUUUAGGCGGGCUCCUGGACUUAUUUUUUCUUCACCCUGUUCUUCAAGUGAGCUCCUGGACUUCCAAUUUCUUUACCUUGUUCUUAAUGCGGGAUCUUGGACUUACAAUUUCUUCACCAUGUUCUUCAGGCGGGCUCCUAGACUUACAGUUUCUUCACCC
Molecule: long non-coding RNA, 237 nt
Filed under: Capsicum annuum
Lineage: Eukaryota; Viridiplantae; Streptophyta; Magnoliopsida; Solanales; Solanaceae
Description: long non-coding RNA (CANN_LNC001907)
Source: RNAcentral